This 695-nucleotide ribosomal RNA is filed under the name Sphingomonas sp. CFBP 13706. RNAcentral describes it as "bacterial SSU rRNA". It matches the Rfam family "Bacterial small subunit ribosomal RNA", at positions 1 to 742 of the family's 1533-position model. Lineage: Bacteria; Pseudomonadati; Pseudomonadota; Alphaproteobacteria; Sphingomonadales; Sphingomonadaceae. The record is from RNAcentral.
AAACUUGAGAGUUUGAUCAUGGCUCAGAAUGAACGCUGGCGGCAUGCCUAACACAUGCAAGUCGAACGAAGCCUUCGGGUUUAGUGGCGCACGGGUGCGUAACGCGUGGGAAUCUGCCCCUUGGUUCGGAAUAACAGUUGGAAACGACUGCUAAUACCGGAUGAUGACGUAAGUCCAAAGAUUUAUCGCCGAGGGAUGAGCCCGCGUAGGAUUAGGUAGUUGGUGUGGUAAAGGCGCACCAAGCCGACGAUCCUUAGCUGGUCUGAGAGGAUGAUCAGCCACACUGGGACUGAGACACGGCCCAGACUCCUACGGGAGGCAGCAGUGGGGAAUAUUGGACAAUGGGCGAAAGCCUGAUCCAGCAAUGCCGCGUGAGUGAUGAAGGCCUUAGGGUUGUAAAGCUCUUUUACCCGGGAUGAUAAUGACAGUACCGGGAGAAUAAGCUCCGGCUAACUCCGUGCCAGCAGCCGCGGUAAUACGGAGGGAGCUAGCGUUAUUCGGAAUUACUGGGCGUAAAGCGCACGUAGGCGGCUUUGUAAGUAAGAGGUGAAAGCCCAGAGCUCAACUCUGGAAUUGCCUUUUAGACUGCAUCGCUUGAAUCAUGGAGAGGUCAGUGGAAUUCCGAGUGUAGAGGUGAAAUUCGUAGAUAUUCGGAAGAACACCAGUGGCGAAGGCGGCUGACUGGACAUGUAUUG